AAGUUUUAUUCUUGCUUUUUCGUUCACUUUUUGUUUGUUCUAUAUGUAAGUUUGUGCGUGUGGGUUUAUGUUAAUUUCUAAAUGGAUUUGGCGGUUAAAUUUUAUUCUCAUUAGUUAUUAUUGAUUAAUCAAGUAUUCUUGUAUUUAGCAAUACGUAUUUAGCUUCGGUUAAAUUUUGUGCCAGCAGCCGCGGUUAUACUUUGGGGGCAUGUGAAUGUGUUCAGCAAAUGGUAGUUUUAUGUUUAUUUUUGAUUUGAUUGUAAUAAUUUUUAGGUGAAAUUUUUAUUGUUUUGUUUAUCUUUUUUGUAAUUGUAGACUAUGAAAUUUUGGUUGUAAACUAGGAUUAGAUACCCUAUUAUUUUGGAAUGUUAAUUUUUGGUGCUUGAGUAGUAUUAGUUAUGUUCUUGAAACUUAAAGAAUUUGGCGGUAUUUCAUUCUGUCCAGAGGAAUCUGUCUCGUUAUCGAUAGUCCACGUUGGACCUUACUUAUGUUUUGAUUGGUUUGUAUACCGCCGUUUAUUGAUUAUCUUUUUAGAGUCGUUUAAUUUUCUUGUUUCUUUAUUUUGAUUUAUUUCAGGUCAAGGUGCAGCUUUAUUUCUAAGUGGUAAGAUGGAUUACAUUGUUAUUUGUUUAUGGAUUAUUGGUUUUAAUAUUGAUAUGAAAUUGGAUUUGGUUGUAAUAAUUUGUAGACUGUUAUUAUGAUAAUUGGUUCUGGAAUAUGUACACAUCGCCCGUCGCUCUCGUUUAUGUUUGUUAAUGAGAUAAGUCGUAACAAAGUGGUUGUACCGGAAGGUGCAGCUGGAUUGAU
This 807-nucleotide non-coding RNA is filed under the name Postsubulitermes parviconstrictus. Lineage: Eukaryota; Metazoa; Arthropoda; Insecta; Blattodea; Termitidae. The record is from RNAcentral.